Molecule: long non-coding RNA, 1328 nt
Filed under: Salmo salar (Atlantic salmon)
Lineage: Eukaryota; Metazoa; Chordata; Actinopteri; Salmoniformes; Salmonidae
Description: lncRNA (ENSSSAG00000089788.1)
Source: RNAcentral
CCGGGCCACGGCGGAUGUCCCAGGCCAGCGAGGGGGCAAUAUAACUAUGUGUGCUGCCAUAUCUGAGAAUGGUGUGGCCACUCACAUCCCCAGUCUUGGCCCAUACAAUACACAGAAGCUCCUCAUCUUCUUGGACCGCCUUCAUUUUGAUUUGAUCCCUGAAAAUGAGAGAGGUCUCGUAGGACCUCACCUACCACAAUAUGUCAUUGUAUGGGACAAUGUGAAUUUCCACCGUGGCCCGCUCAUCAGGGCCUGGUUCACUACUCAUCCAAGGAUGGUCAUGGUGUUCCUUACUCUCCUUUCCUCAAUCCUAUUGAGGAGUAUUUCUCCGCUUGGAGGUGGAGAGUGUAUGAGCAUCGGGCUCAAGAUCAGAGGUCCCUGCUCCAUGCAUUGGACGCUGCAUGUGAGGAUAUUACAGGAGAUCAGUGUAGGGGAUGGUUGCGACAUGCACGCCGUUUCUUCCCUCGUUGCAUCGCAAGGGAGAAUAUACGCUGUGAUGUGGACGAGAAUCUGUGGCCAGACAGACAGCAGCGUGUGGAUGGCCAGGAGGUUACUGCCUAGAUCUACCAGCCUGGACAACCGGAUGACUGGUCCGGAACGGCAAUUCCCAACCAGGAUAUCCCCUGGCCAUUCUUGUGGUGGUCGGCAGCUUUCAGAAAGCCUACCAGGGUAAACCACCAGAGAGGGACUGCAACGAUGAUCCACAACCAGGACAUCCCGUGGUCAUUUUUAUGUUGGGUUGCAACUUGCAGAAUCAUUCCAAGGUUGAACCCACCAGAGAGGGACUGUCAUGACUCUCUCACCUUGGUGAGGAUCAAAAGAACCCAUCAGCUAGGCAAAUGUUUGAGGAUUGGCCUGUUUUAUGACUUAAAUACCUUGCAGAAACUCUUCCUUUGGCUUCGGCAGGAUUGGAAGGCUGAAAAUCCUUUGUUACACAGAGAGACUUUGCCACCAAAAAACUGGGAAAGACGACCAAAGGGAAGGUCAGAUCCCUCUGAACACUGUGUCGUACAUCUGAAGUAUCUAACGAACACUCCAGAACAAAAGAAGCCUACAAUUAAGGACAUUAUGACCUCUGGUGGACAACCAGAGACUUACAUCGAACCACUUCCCAUAGAACCAUCGAGUUCAACAGAGAGAUGACAAAGACAUCUACGCAUAAAUGUAUACAUUGCAUUUAUUUUCCGAAUGAGCGGUUGUUCAUGUGCAAAGUAUUCAUAUUCCCAUGAGUAUAGCUUCCAAAUGUAUGUACGAUAAGUUGACUCUCUUUGUCUCUCCUUCUCCUUACAUACCCCUCCCCCUUACAUUGCGUAACCCAACGGUCAAGC